GGGGAGUGCGGUGCAGAUCCAGACCGCCAGAAAAAGCACUCGCGCAAAUCCCGACCGCUAGAAAACGCACUCAGAGAUUCGAGCGUUUGCUUCGUAGAAACGUGUGAAAACCACCCCUUCUUCCGUUCGGCAGAAGCAAUCUUCCAUCCAUUCCGGUGGACCAAAGCCGCCAAGAGCAUUCGUCGAUCUGAACAGGUUUCAGCGGACAGAAGAACUCCAUUCCGAAGAUUUGACGAAGACGGUUCCCGUGACACAGCAAACGACGACGACCUGUCGCAUUGGAGGCCAUCGUUUCAGUCUAAAGGCAUCUUGGCAGCGCAAAAAUCACCCCACUGAUUGGGGUUUUUGUGCCGGAUUUUGUUUUUGUGCCUGAUCAAAUUCGUCAGCCGUCGGUGUGCGAUCGAUGCUGUUUGGCUGAAGGAAAGGUGCGUGCUAGCCUCGAC
Long non-coding RNA from Armigeres subalbatus, 443 nucleotides. RefSeq lists it as uncharacterized. The record is from RefSeq and is a predicted model, not a curated record. NCBI's taxonomy places the organism in Eukaryota, Metazoa, Arthropoda, Insecta, Diptera, Culicidae. The transcript is spliced from 4 exons.